This 253-nucleotide ribosomal RNA is filed under the name uncultured bacterium. RNAcentral describes it as "partial 16S ribosomal RNA". It matches the Rfam family "Bacterial small subunit ribosomal RNA", at positions 524 to 776 of the family's 1533-position model. The record is from RNAcentral.
UACGUAGGGUGCAAGCGUUGUCCGGAAUUAUUGGGCGUAAAGAGCGCGUAGGCGGCCCGGUAAGUCAAAGGUGAAAUCCCUCGGCUCAACUGAGGAACUGCCUUUGAAACUGUCGGGCUUGAGGCCGGGAGGGGGUAGCGGAAUUCCCAGUGUAGCGGUGAAAUGCGUAGAUACUGGGAGGAACACCAGUGGCGAAGGCGGCUACCUGGACAGGUUCUGACGCUGAUGCGCGAAAGCGUGGGUAGCAAACAGG